This 275-nucleotide ribosomal RNA is filed under the name uncultured bacterium. RNAcentral's name for it is "partial 16S ribosomal RNA". It matches the Rfam family "Bacterial small subunit ribosomal RNA", at positions 399 to 691 of the family's 1533-position model. The record is from RNAcentral.
GCGUGAGUGAUGAAGGCCCUAGGGUUGUAAAGCUCUUUCAGUCGUGAAGAUAAUGACAUUAGCGACAGAAGAAGCCCCGGCUAACUUCGUGCCAGCAGCCGCGGUAAUACGAAGGGGGCUAGCGUUGUUCGGAAUCACUGGGCGUAAAGCGCACGUAGGUGGGCAUUUAAGUCAGGGGUGAAAUCCCGGGGCUCAACCCCGGAACUGCCUUUGAUACUGGAUGCCUAGAGGCCGAGAGAGGUGAGUGGAACUCCGAGUGUAGAGGUGAAAUUCGU